Molecule: long non-coding RNA, 428 nt
Organism: Helianthus annuus (common sunflower)
Lineage: Eukaryota; Viridiplantae; Streptophyta; Magnoliopsida; Asterales; Asteraceae
Exons: 4
Source: RefSeq, a predicted model, not a curated record
GUUUUCUUAAAAUUCUUGUUAAAAAUCUCCCUCCAAAAUCAAUUAAUUCUCUCCCCUUACCUUCAUCAAUUUGCAUUCUUAUUUCAGUUUCACCCUUUCGUUCUUAUUCAAGUUUCAUCAGGACCUAGGGAUUCACGUGAUAGGAUUGGGAAGAGAAGUUGUUUCCAUCGAUUGUUAUACAAGAACUGGUAAGUAACAAUGGCUAACGGAAGGGAGAGUGCGCUCAAUUUCUAUUAAGGUGUUGCUGUGGAUUGCAUUUCCGAUCAUUAGCAUGAGUCCAUGGGCUUUAAUUUUCUCAGGAUUAGACCUAUAGGCCGUAAUGUUAUGGUUGGAGAGGCUAAAAGAAGCAGAGUAACAAUUAUAGAGCUGCUACAACAAAGCCUAGAACAACAUGCUGCAAGUGUACUGUUUUCUUCAACUAUAACCAA